Molecule: ribosomal RNA, 497 nt
Filed under: uncultured bacterium
Lineage: Bacteria
Description: partial 16S ribosomal RNA
Rfam family: Bacterial small subunit ribosomal RNA
Source: RNAcentral
GAUGAACGCUGGCGGCGUGCCUUAUACAUGCAAGUCGAGCGAACGGACGAGAAGCUUGCUUCUCUGAUGUUAGCGGCGGACGGGUGAGUAACACGUGGAUAACCUACCUAUAAGACUGGGAUAACUUCGGGAAACCGGAGCUAAUACCGGAUGAUAUUUUGAACCGCAUGGUUCAAAAGUGAAAGACGGUCUUGCUGUCACUUAUAGAUGGAUCCGCGCUGCAUUAGCUAGUUGGUAAGGUAACGGCUUACCAAGGCAACGAUGCAUAGCCGACCUGAGAGGGUGAUCGGCCACACUGGAACUGAGACACGGUCCAGACUCCUACGGGAGGCAGCAGUAGGGAAUCUUCCGCAAUGGGCGAAAGCCUGACGGAGCAACGCCGCGUGAGUGAUGAAGGUCUUCGGAUCGUAAAACUCUGUUAUUAGGGAAGAACAUAUGUGUAAGUAACUGUGCACAUCUUGACGGUACCUAAUCAGAAAGCCACGGCUAACUACGUG